RNAcentral lists this RNase P RNA (383 nucleotides) under Sphingobacterium faecium. RNAcentral's name for it is "Bacterial RNase P class A". It matches the Rfam family "Bacterial RNase P class A". From Rfam's summary of the family: Ribonuclease P (RNase P) is a ubiquitous endoribonuclease, found in archaea, bacteria and eukarya as well as chloroplasts and mitochondria. Lineage: Bacteria; Pseudomonadati; Bacteroidota; Sphingobacteriia; Sphingobacteriales; Sphingobacteriaceae. The record is from RNAcentral.
GAAGCAAACUGGUUCUAUCGCUGCUCCCUAAAGGAGGAGAGGAAAGUCCGGGCAACGCAGAGCAACACGCUUCCUAACGGGAAGGAUGCUAUUGAUUUAGUAGACAGAAAGUGCCACAGAAAAUAUACCGCUUUUCGGAGUAAGGGUGAAAAUGUGAGGUAAGAGCUCACAGUCUUGUAUGGCGACAUGCAUUACGGUAAACCUCGUGUGUUGAAAGACCAAAUAGGUUGCGAAAUUCGAAGGCUGCUCGUCUUCUUUUAGCUUCGGCUAAGAUUCGUAAUGGGUAGGUUGAUGGAGCUAGUUAGUGAUGACUAGCCUAGAUAAAUGGUAGAAACUCCGAUUUUUCGGUUUACAGAACCCGGCUUAUAAGGUUUGCUUCUUUU